This 383-nucleotide ribosomal RNA is filed under the name Escherichia coli. Its description in RNAcentral is "bacterial SSU rRNA". It matches the Rfam family "Bacterial small subunit ribosomal RNA", at positions 84 to 470 of the family's 1533-position model. Lineage: Bacteria; Pseudomonadati; Pseudomonadota; Gammaproteobacteria; Enterobacterales; Enterobacteriaceae. The record is from RNAcentral.
UUCGCUGACGAGUGGCGGACGGGUGAGUAAUGUCUGGGAAACUGCCUGAUGGAGGGGGAUAACUACUGGAAACGGUAGCUAAUACCGCAUAACGUCGCAAGACCAAAGAGGGGGACCUUCGGGCCUCUUGCCAUCGGAUGUGCCCAGAUGGGAUUAGCUAGUAGGUGGGGUAACGGCUCACCUAGGCGACGAUCCCUAGCUGGUCUGAGAGGAUGACCAGCCACACUGGAACUGAGACACGGUCCAGACUCCUACGGGAGGCAGCAGUGGGGAAUAUUGCACAAUGGGCGCAAGCCUGAUGCAGCCAUGCCGCGUGUAUGAAGAAGGCCUUCGGGUUGUAAAGUACUUUCAGCGGGGAGGAAGGGAGUAAAGUUAAUACCUUU